RNAcentral lists this ribosomal RNA (253 nucleotides) under uncultured bacterium. RNAcentral's name for it is "partial 16S ribosomal RNA". It matches the Rfam family "Bacterial small subunit ribosomal RNA", at positions 524 to 776 of the family's 1533-position model. The record is from RNAcentral.
UACGGAGGGGGCGAGCGUUAUUCGGAAUUAUUGGGCGUAAAGGGCGCGUAGGCGGCCUUGCAAGUCAAAGGUGAAAUCCCUCGGCUCAACUGAGGAACUGCCUUUGAAACUGCAUGGCUUGAGGCCGGGAGGGGGUAGCGGAAUUCCCAGUGUAGCGGUGAAAUGCGUAGAUAUUGGGAGGAACACCAGUGGCGAAGGCGGCUACCUGGACCGGUUCUGACGCUGAUGCGCGAAAGCGUGGGUAGCAAACAGG